AGUUUGACCUCGGAUCAGGUAGGGAUACCCGCUGAACUUAAGCAUAUCAAUAAGCGGAGGAAAAGAAACCAACAGGGAUUGCCCUAGUAACGGCGAGUGAAGCGGCAACAGCUCAAAUUUGAAAUCUGGUCUCCUUUGGGGGCCCGAGUUGUAAUUUGCAGAGGGUGCUUUGGUGUCGGCAGCGGUCUAAGUUCCUUGGAACAGGACAUCACAGAGGGUGAGAAUCCCGUACGUGGUCGCUUGCCUUCGCCGUGUAAAGCCCCUUCGACGAGUCGAGUUGUUUGGGAAUGCAGCUCUAAAUGGGAGGUAAAUUUCUUCUAAAGCUAAAUACUGGCCAGAGACCGAUAGCGCACAAGUAGAGUGAUCGAAAGAUGAAAAGCACUUUGGAAAGAGAGUCAAACAGCACGUGAAAUUGUUAAAAGGGAAGCGCUUGCAGCCAGACUUGCUCGUAGUUGCUCAUCUGGGUUCGCCCGGAGCACUCUUCUGCGAGCAGGCCAGCAUCAGUUUGGGCGACCGGAUAAAGGCCUCUGUCAUGUAUCUUCCUUCGGGAUGACCUUAUAGGGGAGGCGUAAUGCGGUCAGCCCGGACUGAGGUCCGCGCAUCUGCUAGGAUGCUGGCGUAAUGGCUGUAAGCGGCCCGUCCUGAAACACGGACCAAGGAGUCUAACAUCUAUGCGAGUGUUUGGGUGUCAAGCCCGGGCGCGUAAUGAAAGUGAACGGAGGUGGGAACCCUCUUCGGGGGGUGCACCAUCGACCGAUCCUGAUGUCUUCGGAUGGAUUUGAGUAAGAGCAUAGCUGUUGGGACCCGAAAGAUGGUGAACUAUGCUUGAAUAGGGUGAAGCCAGAGGAAACUCUGGUGGAGGCUCGCAGCGG
Molecule: ribosomal RNA, 872 nt
Filed under: uncultured Ascomycota
Lineage: Eukaryota; Fungi; Ascomycota
Description: eukaryotic LSU rRNA
Rfam family: Eukaryotic large subunit ribosomal RNA
Source: RNAcentral